This 497-nucleotide ribosomal RNA is filed under the name uncultured bacterium. Its description in RNAcentral is "partial 16S ribosomal RNA". It matches the Rfam family "Bacterial small subunit ribosomal RNA", at positions 28 to 507 of the family's 1533-position model. The record is from RNAcentral.
GAUGAACGCUGGCGGCGUGCCUAAUACAUGCAAGUCGAGCGAACGGACGAGAAGCUUGCUUCUCUGAUGUUAGCGGCGGACGGGUGAGUAACACGUGGAUAACCUACCUAUAAGACUGGGAUAACUUUGGGAAACCGGAGCUAAUACCGGAUAAUAUUUUGAACCGCAUGGUUCAAAAGUAAAAGACGGUCUUGCUGUCACUUAUAGAUGGAUCCGCGCUGCAUUAGCUAGUUGGUAAGGUAACGGCUUACCAAGGCAACGAUGCAUAGCCGACCUGAGAGGGUGAUCGGCCACACUGGAACUGAGACACGGUCCAGACUCCUACGGGAGGCAGCAGUAGGGAAUCUUCCGCAAUGGGCGAAAGCCUGACGGAGCAACGCCGCGUGAGUGAUGAAGGUCUUCGGAUCGUAAAACUCUGUUAUUAGGGAAGAACAUAUGUGUAAGUAACUGUGCACAUCUUGACGGUACCUAAUCAGAAAGCCACGGCUAACUACGUG